GAUGAAGAACGCAGCGAAAUGCGAUAAGUAAUGUGAAUUGCAGAAUUCAGUGAAUCAUCGAAUCUUUGAACGCACAUUGCGCCCUCUGGUAUUCCGGGGGGCAUGCCUGUUCGAGCGUCAUUUCAACCCUCAAGCUCAGCUUGGUAUUGGGAGCUGGCCCCCCUGGGGCCUUCCCGAAACACAUCGGCGAUGCGGCCGGAUUCCCAGCGCAGUGACUUUUAAUCUCGCUGAUUGGAUCCCCGGGCGAUGUCUGCCGGAUAACAACAAUUUUUUUCAAAAGAUUGACCUCGGAUCAGGUAGGGAUACCCGCUGAACUUAAGCAUAUCAAUAAGCGGAGGA
RNAcentral lists this unclassified non-coding RNA (339 nucleotides) under soil metagenome. RNAcentral describes it as "partial contains 5.8S ribosomal RNA, internal transcribed spacer 2, and large subunit ribosomal RNA". The stretch from base 1 to 120 matches the Rfam family "5.8S ribosomal RNA", at positions 35 to 154 of the family's 154-position model. The record is from RNAcentral.